This 894-nucleotide ribosomal RNA is filed under the name uncultured bacterium. Its description in RNAcentral is "bacterial SSU rRNA". It matches the Rfam family "Bacterial small subunit ribosomal RNA", at positions 8 to 916 of the family's 1533-position model. The record is from RNAcentral.
AGAGUUUGAUCAUGGCUCAGGAUGAACGCUGGCGGCGUGCUUAACACAUGCAAGUCGAACGGUAAGGUCCCCUUCGGGGGAUACACGAGUGGCGAACGGGUGAGUAUCACGUGGGCAACCUGCCCCUCACACUGGGAUAACCACGGGAAACUGUGGCUAAUACCGGAUACUCCGCAAGAAUCGCAUGGUUCUUUCGGGAAAGCUCCGGCGGUGAGGGAGGGGCCCGCGGCCCAUUAGCUUGUUGGUGAGGUAACGGCUCACCAAGGCUGCGAUGGGUAGCCGAGCUGAGAGGCUGAUCGGCCACACUGGGACUGAGACACGGCCCAGACUCCUACGGGAGGCAGCAGUGGGGAAUUUUGCACAAUGGGCGAAAGCCUGAUGCAGCAACGCCGCGUGCGGGAUGAAGGCUCUCGGGUCGUAAACCGCUUUCAGCAGGGACGAACGUGACGGUACCUGCAGAAGAAGCCCCGGCUAAAUACGUGCCAGCAGCCGCGGUAAUACGUAUGGGGCAAGCGUUAUCCGGAUUUAUUGGGCGUAAAGCGCGUGUAGGCGGCUUGCUAAGUCAGGUGUGAAAACUGGGGGCUCAACCCGCAGCGUGCAUCUGAAACUGGCAGGGCUUGAGUCUGGUAGAGGAAAGUGGAAUUCCUAGUGUAGCGGUGAAAUGCGCAGAUAUUAGGAGGAACACCAGUGGCGAAGGCGGCUUUCUGGGCCACGACUGACGCUGCGACGCGAAAGCUAGGGGAGCAAACAGGAUUAGAUACCCUGGUAGUCCUAGCUGUAAACGAUGGGCACUAGGUGUGGGGGGUCAUCGACUCCCUCCGUGCCGUAGCUAACGCAUUAAGUGCCCCGCCUGGGGAGUACGGCCGCAAGGCUAAAACUCAAAGGAAUUGACGG